RNAcentral lists this long non-coding RNA (274 nucleotides) under Elaeis guineensis (African oil palm). RNAcentral describes it as "long non-coding RNA (EGUI_LNC030851)". Lineage: Eukaryota; Viridiplantae; Streptophyta; Magnoliopsida; Arecales; Arecaceae. The record is from RNAcentral.
CGCCAUGGUGACUUGCAAGCAUUUCACUGCACUUAGGCACUGGACUACCUGAAUUUCUAAUUCAGUGACGGAAGGCUGCUGGGUGUAGUCAAGUACUUGACUUGUCGGUGCGUGUGUUAAGAUGGGAUUGACCACUCCAGUUUAGGAGCUGUGUACAGUCGUGUUUCAAUUUAGCAAAUCCUUGACCAGGAUAGUCCUAGUGAGGAGUCACAGGACUAAUUGAGUUGAACAUGAUUCGGAUGAUCUCAUCAGGGUUGACAGUUUAACCCUGAGU